This is a non-coding RNA of Aspergillus udagawae, 113 nucleotides long. NCBI's taxonomy places the organism in Eukaryota, Fungi, Ascomycota, Eurotiomycetes, Eurotiales, Aspergillaceae. The record is from the annotation of a RefSeq genome assembly.
GCCUCUAUGGUGUAGUUGGUUAUCACGCAGGUCUCAUAUCACAUGACUCUUCUGUCAACAGAAGGGAUGUUCCUGAAAUCCUGAGGUCUCCAGUUCGAUCCUGGAUGGAGGCA